UCCACGCAGUAAACGUUGUACACUAGGUGUAGCGGGUAUUGACCUCUGCUGUGCCGGAGCUAACGCAUUAAGUGUACCGCCUGGGGAGUACGGUCGCAAGACUAAAACUCAAAGGAAUUGACGGGGGCCCGCACAAGCGGUGGAGCAUGUGGUUUAAUUCGAUGCAACGCGAAGAACCUUACCUGGGCUUGACAUGCCGGGAAUCCUUGGAACAUUGGAGUGCCCUCAGUUCG
RNAcentral lists this ribosomal RNA (233 nucleotides) under uncultured bacterium. RNAcentral's name for it is "partial 16S ribosomal RNA". It matches the Rfam family "Bacterial small subunit ribosomal RNA", at positions 794 to 1023 of the family's 1533-position model. The record is from RNAcentral.